AACUUUUGGCAAUGGAUCUCUUGGCUCUCGCAUCGAUGAAGAACGCAGCGAAAUGCGAUAAGUAAUGUGAAUUGCAGAUUUUCACUGAAUCAUCGAAUCUUUGAACGCACCUUGCGCUCCUUGGUAUUCCGAGGAGCAUGCCUGUUUGAGUGUCAUUAAAUCCUCAACCCCGAUCGAUUUGUUUCGACCUAGGGGAUUGGACUUGGAGAGUGCUGGCGUGAUGCGGCUCCUCUCAAAUGGAUCGGCGGAAUUCAAUCCUUGGCUUGCGGACGUCAGUGUGAUAAUCACGUUGCGCUGUCGGUUUGAGCCGUAAGGGUCAGCUUACAAUGGUCUUCGGACAACUUCAUUUAAAUUUGACCUCAAAUAAGGUAGGACUACCCGCUGAACUUAAGCAUAUCAAUAAGCGGAGG
Molecule: unclassified non-coding RNA, 410 nt
Filed under: uncultured Piloderma
Lineage: Eukaryota; Fungi; Basidiomycota; Agaricomycetes; Atheliales; Atheliaceae
Description: sequence contains ITS2
Rfam family: 5.8S ribosomal RNA (bases 1-155)
Source: RNAcentral